Molecule: ribosomal RNA, 579 nt
Filed under: Triticum aestivum (bread wheat)
Lineage: Eukaryota; Viridiplantae; Streptophyta; Magnoliopsida; Poales; Poaceae
Description: partial small subunit ribosomal RNA
Source: RNAcentral
AUGGCUCGGCGCCUCCACCUCCCGGCGAUGCAUCCGACCUCCCCGCGCGAAAAUAAACACACGGGGACGUGCUGCCCUCAGUCCUCUGUCGACGGAUCCAGCAGUGCAGGUUCUCCGGUGCGUGAAGUAUUGCCGGCGUCAUGCCCAUUGAGAAGAUGCAGAUUUUCUUUCUGGUUCUCUAGAUUGGUCUUGAUAAAGCUUUCAUACAGGAUGCAGCUUAAGCUGGAGUUCGUCGCUAAGCAGGAAACAUGGCUAUCAAUUAUCUUGUAUACAGAAGGUUUGGGACUGGAUCUUGUAAUGAAAGCUGGAGCAGAAGAAGUCCAGGAGGGAGAGCAGUUCGGCUUCCACGGCGCUGCCGACGUGCUCCCCUCGGCUUCCUGCAGUUCGAGGACGGACACCCCAGGUUCUCAAGCAGCAAAGUUAUCGCACAAAGUUGAACUUGCUGCUGCACCAUCUUCACCAAGUCAAACUUGCAACAGCCAGGGGAUCCACAGUCGUUGGGAGCUGUCCAAGUCCAGCUAUGACCGCAGUCCAAGUGGAACUGCGACCACCAUCUUCACCCAGUGCUGCACCCAUUGA